GACGAACGCUGGCGGCGUGCUUAACACAUGCAAGUCGAACGGAAAGGCCCUGCUUUUGCGGGGUGCUCGAGAGGCGAACGGGGGAGUAACACGUGAGUAACCUGCCCUUGAAUUUGGGAUAAAUUCAGGAAACUGGGGCUAAUACCGGAUAGGAGCUCCUGCUGCACGGUGGGGGUUGGAAAGUUUCGGCGGUUGGGGAUGGACUCGCGGCUUAUCAGCUUGUUGGUGGGGUAGUGGCUUACCAAGGCUUUGACGGGUAGCCGGCCUGAGAGGGUGGCCGGCCUCAUUGGGACUGAGAUACGGCCCAGACUGCUACGGGAGGCAGCAGUGGGGAAUAUUGCGCAAUGGGCGGACGCCUGAUGCAGCAACGCCGCGUGCGGGAUGCCGGCCUUCGGGUUGUAAACCGCUUUCGCCUGUGACGAAGCGUGAGUGACGGUAAUGGGUAAAGAAGCACCGGCUAACUACGUG
Molecule: ribosomal RNA, 468 nt
Filed under: uncultured bacterium
Lineage: Bacteria
Description: partial 16S ribosomal RNA
Rfam family: Bacterial small subunit ribosomal RNA
Source: RNAcentral